CUACGGGAGGCACCAGUGGGGAAUAUUGCACAAUGGAGGAAACUCUGAUGCAGCAACGCCGCGUGGAGGAUGACACUUUUCGGAGCGUAAACUCCUUUUAUAUAGGAAGAAGAUGGCGGUACUAUAUGAAUAAGCGCCGGCUAACUCCGUGCCAGCAGCCGCGGUAAUACGGAGGGCGCAAGCGUUACUCGGAAUCACUGGGCGUAAAGAGCGUGUAGGCGGAUUAAAAAGUCAGAAGUGAAAUCCUAUAGCUUAACUAUAGAACUGCUUCUGAAACUCUUAAUCUAGAAUAUGGGAGAGGUAGAUGGAAUCUCUGGUGUAGGGGUAAAAUCCGUAGAGAUCAGAAGGAAUACCGAUUGCGAAGGCGAUCUACUAGAACAUUAUUGACGCUGAGACGCGAAAGCGUGGGGAGCAAACAGGAUUAGAUACCCUCGUAGUC
RNAcentral lists this ribosomal RNA (439 nucleotides) under uncultured bacterium. Its description in RNAcentral is "partial 16S ribosomal RNA". It matches the Rfam family "Bacterial small subunit ribosomal RNA", at positions 339 to 795 of the family's 1533-position model. The record is from RNAcentral.